CCCUCCCUGUUGCUUUGCCCCAUGACUCAUCGCCAAGGUAACCGCCAGCACUCAACUCGUCUCAGACAUCCUGGCAAGAUCUGUGCCCGAAAACUCAACCCAUGGAAGACCUGGAGGUGCUGAUGGGAGCGGAAAGCAAAGUGGAGGAAGCCCGUGUUGUUUUCCAUACCUGAUAACCCUCCGUCCCCUGUCUCUCUGUAGUCCGACCUGUCAGACGCAGUUUCCUGGAAUUCUGAUUCCUGAGGGGAGUGCGUGGGACGGGAACACAAAAGGAUACUGUCAGUCACUGUAAGGUCGUCACUGCAUAACAAACACAUUAAUCUAGCAGGCAUGACCGGUGGCACGUCAAUAAGCACAUGCCUGAGGAGGCAGAGUAAAGCAAGGUGCGGUUAUGUGGUGAUAAAAAGGCGCAGCCAAGGAUCUGAGUACAUAGCCUAAUUUUAUACACUCCAUGGAAUAAAUUACACAUUACCAUUACUCACUAAAAUUGAGGACAGCACAAUUUAAUAAUAUCCACUGAUUGUCUUACGUUAUUUACCUAAUAUAGAAAUAAAACGUAAUGCUACUGAUUACUACAUGUAAUAAUGCUAGGAAGAGGUCUAAUAUAAAGAUAAUUUAGUACUAAAUGUCUGUUUCAACUAAAAAACAAAUCACUAUGUCAUGUUUUAUGUUUUUAAGUAUGCCAGCUUUUAGUCAGUGUCAGAACAAACUGAGUGAAGAAUGAUUGUCCUGAGGGGUGUCCACGUUCCUUGCUCUCCUGUUCAAACCAACCCCUCUAUUUGCCUAAUAAUAGUGUUAGAUAAUCUUUUACUAUCGUCUGGAGCUCUGCAUGUGUGUUGAGCAUUGGUUUAUGAACCACGUAAUCUUUGUUCCUGUGUGUGUCCGAUAUGACAGCAGUCAGCUCUGAACAAAGGAAACCUACCAUAAACAUGUCCGGCUUCGAGGGAGGGGUUGGAGAUAAAUGCUUCGACGGAUUUAUCUCUCAUUGAUACCGUGACACACACACACACACACACACACAGAGAUGAACACGCAGGCAACACGCACAAUAAGAUAAACCCUUUCAGCCCACAAGAUCAAAGCUGCAUCUGCUGUGCUGGAAGCCUUAACAAAAACACAAAUGAUUAGGUCUGAAGAAUUACACGCAUGGUGUGACACACUGAACUGGCACCCAGAAGUUCUGAUAGUCACACACUUAUACCUCACAUACUGUACUGUUUUGUCUUCUCACAUAACGCCCUCCUGUCAUUAACUGCUGGUGUAUUCACAUUCAGUCACUUGACAGGGGGAACAGAGGGGACAUUACUAAGGGCAGGACUCAUUAUGGCCGUCGGCUGUGAGUGGUCAGCUGAUAAAUAAAGAAUGCUGCACAUGAUAAGAUCGUGUCUUUGCUCCAGCAGGUCAGUCAGGCUCCAUCAGACCUGCUGCCAAUGGGGGAAGAAAACCCACGCGUUGCACUUUAUUAAUAUUUGCUUUGUUAAAGUAAACACCACGCAAUCUUCUUUCCUGUUUCAGCAGAAAGUGAGAAUCAUGUGCUCAACCAGCUCGGCUGUGUAACUUACCGUGAUUCAGCACACUCAUAGCUACGUUGUGGGAAGGGUAUGGGUAUGUACACAAACAGGUUUGUAGUUGAAGCUGUAUUGUUUUUCAGGGUGAAGGUUUCUUUACAUGGCUAGCCUGUGGUAAUAAAUGGGUGAGUUUAUAUGUGGAGCAGUGAUGACAAUUGACUCAGCGUUGCGUCAGUCCAGGAGCAUAAAAUUCUCACACCAAGCUUGUGUCCGGCAGUCACAAUAAAUCAGCCAUGCGUUUAAUACUUUCACGGCGCAUUUGUUAACUUAGCCUGUGUCAAAAUAACGAUCCUCUGGCCUAGAAAGGAUCAACCCCAACAGAUGUCUGAACAUCUGCUGAUGAGAUGUCUCCUUUCGGAUGAAGUAACGAACACUUGACAUUCCAGGAUUUUUGUUAAAACGUGCCCCUCCUCCUUCUCAUUAUUCUGGAGUCUCCACUGCUAAUCAGAAUUAUUGAUCAGAGCCUGUGGACACAGCUUACGUAACAUGUGUCGCCCUCCCCCCUAAAGAGGAUAAAGAGGAAAAAUCUUCAGCAGAAAUUCGCAGAAACACACACACACACACACACACACACACACACACACACACACACACACACACACACACACACACACAGACUGACAACUGUGUUUAGAGAGAUCAGGACACACAGAUCAUGUUGAACAAGGAGCUCAGGACACAUUUCACUGACAUCCUAUCUACAGUCACUGAACACUCUGACCACAGUGCGUGCGUGUGUGUGUGUACAUGUGUGUUUGGAGUUUCCAGUGUUUUACGCUUCAUUGAUGAAGAAAGACUUUGGUUUCACUCAACUGAGAAAUGAAUGACUUUAAUCCAGUCAGAAGGAGAUGAGCCUCUGUUCUCUGUAAACCCCCUGCAGAAUGGAUAAAUGAUUGUUUUUGGGUUCAAUACCCCCCCUUGUGGUAGUUUAAUCAACUGCAUGAACAUAGUGCAUGAAUUCAUGUCUGUCAAAUAAAAUUAUUAAUUUAUAUAUUUUUAAUAAAACUUUAUUAAUUUA
Long non-coding RNA from Mugil cephalus (flathead mullet), 2586 nucleotides. RefSeq lists it as uncharacterized. The record is from RefSeq and is a predicted model, not a curated record. The transcript has 2 exons. Lineage: Eukaryota; Metazoa; Chordata; Actinopteri; Mugiliformes; Mugilidae.